This 361-nucleotide long non-coding RNA is filed under the name Dermacentor andersoni. Its description in RNAcentral is "uncharacterized LOC126541819". Lineage: Eukaryota; Metazoa; Arthropoda; Arachnida; Ixodida; Ixodidae. The record is from RNAcentral.
GGGCAGCAGCGACGACUGGGGCGCUCUGGUAAACCUUAGUCACAGCUGGGGCGGCCUGGUAAGUCACGCGGGAGACAGCUGGAACAGCGUAGGUGGUGACAGCUGGGGCAGACUGGUAGGUGGUGACGCGGGACACGGCUGGAGCAGCGGCGUAGGUAGCGACCGCUGGAGCAGCGUGGUAAGUGGUAGAGACAGCUGGGGCAGCGGCCACAACUGGAGCGGACUGGUAGGUGGUGACGCGGGACACAGCUGGAGCUGCAGCGACGGUGGCGACUGGGGCAGCGGCGUAGGUAGCGACCGCUGGAGCAGCGUGAACAGCGGUCACAGCUGGAGCAGCAUGGUAAGUGGAGACGGUGCGAGA